Molecule: transfer RNA, 60 nt
Filed under: Amphitetranychus viennensis (hawthorn spider mite)
Lineage: Eukaryota; Metazoa; Arthropoda; Arachnida; Trombidiformes; Tetranychidae
Description: tRNA-Phe
Source: RNAcentral
AUUUUAAUAAUUAAACUCUAUUAUAUUAUUUACAUUGAAGAUGUAAAUUCAAAAAGAGUA